UCCAAGAAUGUAUUUUUGCAUUUCAGUAUGUUUUACUUCAGCUGAGCCUGGCCAACUGAACACUGUCUCCCUGACUCCCAUGGCCUCCUGUCAGUCUGCAAGUCUCUAGGACUAGGAACUUCCUGCUUGUCUUUUAAGAGAAGUCUCUCAGUGUCCAGUGAUCACAGAGGAAGAACAGACUUCUAAUGCAAGAAUCUCAGUUCUGUGGCUGAAGUCAGAAGAUGUGGGUGCUUCUUCCCCUCCCCCUUCUUCCCCUGUGCAAAAAUGCACAUCUUGUAAAUCAAAACUCAUUCUGAAAUACAAGUACUUACUGCUUGAUUCACAAAGCUGAAGACACAUCUUGAAAACAUAAAUCCCUACAUCACAUCUCACUUUCCCUGAAGAAGAAACCAACUGGUGCUGCAUUCCCCACUGGGAUCAGUGCUAAUGGGACCUGUGGAAAUUGCAGGUACAGAAUUCUGCUCUGUGACACUGUAAGCCAAGGCAGCUGUCACAUUAAACCUUGCCUUUUUCUCUGAGCAGGUAACCCAGGGUAAGUUUUACACUAUCUACACUCAUCUCU
RNAcentral lists this long non-coding RNA (562 nucleotides) under Ficedula albicollis (Collared flycatcher). RNAcentral describes it as "lncRNA (ENSFALG00000028657.1)". Lineage: Eukaryota; Metazoa; Chordata; Aves; Passeriformes; Muscicapidae. The record is from RNAcentral.